Numida meleagris (helmeted guineafowl) is the source of this 9477-nucleotide long non-coding RNA. RefSeq lists it as uncharacterized. Lineage: Eukaryota; Metazoa; Chordata; Aves; Galliformes; Numididae. The transcript has 6 exons. The record is from RefSeq and is a predicted model, not a curated record.
UUGAUAAAAUGUCCCCUCUUGUCUGCUGCCACUGAAGUCUCUGGCACCCUCUGCACAUACUGACAUCUCUGUUCUGUGAGAACAGUAUAAUGAUUUGGCCUGUCUUGUCUAGACUCAUUUUAUUCUUUGAUUUUUUUUUUCCUCUCCAAAUGAUAGGUACUCGUGGAGUGCUGCAAUGGCUUCCCACCUGCAUAUCCCUUUUGGACAGGAUCAGUGUUUUCCAUUAUAUUCUUCACAAUCUUUUAGCAGUCAGGGUACCUUUCAUUACGCGUUGCCAUCAGCAAGGCUAGCCCUUAGCCUUCACACUAAAGGAGUUAAUGUUCCUGAGGUAGCCCAAGCUUCCUCUUUCUUGCCCAGCUGUUUUUUCUCCUGAUGAACUGACCAAGUUAGCAACUGUGAUGCAAUUGCCCACAGAUUCUACUAUCCUGGUCCCUUACAGGGCUAUAUGCCAUGUACAUUGCCUUUCAGUUCAUGUAUGCUAAAGAUUUCCUAGGACAGAAAAGCACUAGAAGGGUUGUGUUGAGACUGUAAGUGAAUACAUAGAUGAAAAUGUAAAAGAAACAUCAAAAACACUGGCUUAAUCUCUUUGAAAUAAACAUUUACAGCUCUUGUGACCUUUUCCUGUAGAUCAUGUCAAACCCUUCAUCAAGUUCAGCAUGAUUUAAAAUUUAGAGCAACACUCCCUUUAGGCUGUUACAUUAAAGUCCAGAUGUGAAUGAACAUUCAGGUUCAAUCUGAAUUUUUCCACCAGCUUCCAAUUCAUAACCUGCAGGCAGUUGCAAGAAGGUUGGAUGCGCGUGACUAUUCACUGAUCCCAAACAAGGACUCUUUUUACAUGAUGGCAGAGGGAUGAUAUAGUUUCCCCCUCACUGCUUUGAAAUUAAGAUAAUUUACUAACAUAGCAAUUUUUUGAGAACUUGCAUUUGGCAUGUUUUGUUGUGAGCUUUAGUUUGUAGGCAACUUUCUUAUUUACAGCUAAAAUAUUGUCAACAUCUAGGAUUAGAAAAAAGAUCCUACUACCUGAAAUGUAUACUUUUUCUGCAAUAUCAAACAUCCAGCAGCUGUUCUCAUCCUCACAUAAGCCAUAGAUCUCUAUCGUGUUAAGAACAUGAUUAUGUGCAUUGACUCUCUGAACUAGCAGUGCAAACAGGACAUUGGUCAGGGAGGUAGGACAGAAUUUAGGAAUAAGUUUUGGAGGAACAACUCAUGUCACUGCAGGCCCAGAGACAGGAGCAAACAUUUCAAGCACAUGUCUGCUGUACUCCUGGUUUGUGCUUGCAGAAAAGGAGUCUCCCCCAGCCUGGGCUGCAAUUGCCAACCCCUACGCACCUCUGAAUACCAGUGCUGUUUGGCAUCACUGUAUUGCUAUUCAUUUGUAUUCCCAGCUCCAACUCUGUCCUCUGUUCCUGCUUUGUAAUUUGCUUGAGGUACCACAGCAGGCCAGAUCCUGACGCUGGGCUCACAGGAUACUCCUUCUUUAGUCAAUAAAUGGCCUCUUCCAACCAUAUUGCAUUCCUAAAGCAGUUUUUGGGGGACUGAAAGAUAGACUUUUGCUCUAGAUGGAUGCACCUAUAUGAAGAUAGUGAGGGGGCUAAAGGGCAGGACAUGUGAGGUGUGGCUGAGGUCCCUGGGUGUGUUCAGCCCAGAGCAGAGGAGCUGAGGGGAGGCCUCAUGGUGGCUGCAGCUCCUCACAGGGAGAGGAGGGGCAGUGCUGAGCUCUGCUCUCUGGGGACAGUGACAGGGCCUGAGGGAACAGAGCAGUGCCAGGGGAAGGACAGGGACAGGUUCUGCACCAGAGGGUGGUAGGGCCCUUGAACAGGCUGCCCAGGGCAGUGGUCACAACCCCAAGCUGCUGGAGUUCAAGAAAUGUCUGGACAGCGCUCUCAGACAUGGGGUUUGAGUUUGGAGUCUUUCUGUGAGGAGCCUGUAGCAGGACUUCAUCAUCCUUGCGAGUCUUUUCCAACUCAGGAUAUUCUGAUUCUGCAAUUCUAUGAUUUUAUUCAGCCUCCUGCUGAUAUUUUGUACUAGUGCUCACGUUUGUAACAUCCCAGUGAUGUAAUUAAUGUGUUUACAGAGUCAUUUAUGGCCUUGACACCCAUGGUGCACCUUCAGUGAUCAGCCAGCCUCAGACCUGUCUCAGGCACCAUGGUUGUUUUGGUGGAGCCAAUGAACCCAUGUCCCUGCUGCUGCUCUUUGCUCAGUUCCAGGAAUGAGGCAAGAAAGGGUACAUACCGUACUUGUUCCCUGCUUUUAUGUAUGCCUUUAAAAGGAGCACAAUAAUGUAGUGUGUUGACUAUUGUUAAUUAUCUGCUAUAAAAAGUUUAGAUCUUUUUUCCUAAUGAUUUCUUUUUAUUAUGUUUGGAAACACACAAGGUUGAUCAUCUUUCUUUAAGAGGAAAGAAGAAAGGUAGGGAAAGAGUUCACAGAUUCUUCAAAUGGCCACUCUGCUUGGAGAUGAAACACACAGUCCCAGAUCUGUGACCUGAGUCCCACCACCUACGCCCUGCCUGGAGUUUCUAGCUGGUCUUUCCUCGCCUCUGUGAUUUUCAUUUCUACAGCAGCCCUGGAAGAUCCUCCCUGUCUCUUGAAAAUGUAUCUUUUAAAAAGUUAACCUUCCUUUGUCAUUGAAAGUAUGAAGGAACAUCUCAUGAACUCCUGUAAUUAGGGAGAAGGGACAAGCAGGCCCAGAAUACUCCUUGAGGUAAUAUCCGGGAAAUUUCUCAUGAGAAACUUCUGGGUGAGCAGCUGGAACUUGGCAGCAGAAGAGGAGGCCUACAGAAGCCCAAGGGUCAGCAUCAUUCAUGAGCUGGGUAUGGAAAGAAUGCUCAUCAUUCUGGCCGGUGAAUGGGAAAAUUUCAAAAUGAAGAGUGAGGGCUGUCCAUACCUGGGGAACUCAGCUGGCCUCCAGGAGCGGAGUGGACUGUGGCUGCAUAUCUCCAGGCUGAGAAGGAAGCUUAACACAGAUUUUGCCUUUCCUAGAGUGGGAGUUUACUCUUGCCCAUGAUGUAUGUGGAGCAACCCUUCCCCUGAGAGGAGAGCGAGAAGCUGCUGUACACUUGCCCUGGACUUAGAGCAACCCCAUGGACUGGAGCAGCCAGAAGUAUCCUGUUUGUUCACAUCUCACCUUAGCCUGUGGUUUCAAGACACAUCAAAGCAAGAAAGAAGCAAGGAAGCUGUUGGGAGAAUGCAGUUUCUGACAUGUUUUGCAAGAGUAGUCCUUUGAAAACUAAUGAAAGCCCCAUUUUGCACCUGAAGGAGCUCUUCAGAACUGUAAAAUACUUCCAGAGGGAAUCUACAUCACGAAAGUUCUUCUCAAGCUGGCUGCUUCAACCAGGGGAAGCAGAGACACUGAUUUGACUGCUGCUGGCUCCACUACAGAUGUAUGCUAAAGCAGUGGUGGAACACUCAUCAUUGCAGUAAAGUUGAAUGUGUGCAAUAUCAAACUCCCCUGCUGAAGCAGUGGGGGCAGGAAGAAGGACUGGAAUCAGUCAUACUCCAUGCAUCAGGCCAGAUCCUCUUCCCGUACACAUGAGGCCGGUGGUUCUGGAGGAAGACAGAAUGAAAUCUUCGUUCCCUCCAGCCAGCCACUUUGUGCCCUCAUUUAACCUGUGCAGCCAUGAGAAGUCAGUGGUAUCGGCACAGGAGUACAGGAUGGUGAGAUUUAGCUCAUUAAUUCUUUCUUCCCCAUAACAAAAAAGAGGGGAUUAAUGUAAAAGUUUAUUCUGAUAUAUUCACACCAUACUUAUUAUCACAGGAUGUACGAAGAGUUUUUGUGGCUGCAUUUGAUCCUCCCAUUUUACUCUCGCUCUGAGAUUACUGGGGAAAUUCCUUACCCACAAGUGGAUGCUCUGUGAAGGGCAGGAUGUGGUGGCCUGGUGACUGUCGGGCUGUGUCAUAGCCAGCAGGCCCCACCAGGCAGCACUGCCUCCCUCCAGCCUCCAAUUACAAUAAAUCGCUCCUCCUAAGGCACGCUUACCAUGUCCACUUUUCUGAUCCUCAAAAUAAACUUGCUUUUCUACAAGCUACCAGGAGCUUCAUGAAAAGCACCUUUGCCUCCAGAAAAAGCGAUUUGGGGUGAUUUCUGGAACCUGACUCCUCUACUAAUUUUCUCUUGCUUUUUUUUUUUUUUUUUUCCUAAUGUUCUUCUAUCCAGUUCAGAUAUUUUCACCCAGAGUGUCAUCAUUGCUCUUUUCCUCAAUAUUUUGCUUGUCUGGCCAUAGAUCAAGCAGCACACUGCAAAAUGCAGUGAUAUGGUAAGGAGCAGGAGCCUGAGAUCCAUCUUUGUAAGCUGAUGCAAGCUCCUCUUCCCUUCUCUGUGCAUGCGUUGGGAGCAUGGGUGGAGAAGGACUGUGUAAAAAGAAAACUGAAAAAAUGUAAGGAAAAGUGUAUAUGUGUGUAUAUGUAUGUGUGUGUGUAUAUAUAUGUGUGUAUAUAUAUAUGAAAGUAUAUAUAUAAAUGUAUAAAUAAGUAUAUCUAUCAGUUUAUCAUAUAUAUAUAUACAUAUCAGUUUUCUGAUACAUAUAAAUUCAGCAUAUAUUCCAUCAAGAUGGUGGGAAAACUAUUAAUAUCAACAAACCAUCAAAACAAGGCCUGGAAUGCUGUGGUUGUGUUACUUCUCAUCUAUGUGCUCUUGUUCUGCCAUCAAACAGAAAUUCAUGGUGCUCAUGGUAUAAGCAAUAAUCAAAGAGAACAAAAUGAGUAAAUACGAGCAAUAGCUACAGGUACUAACUGGUGUCACCUUGACAUGUGUCUACUGAUGGUUGCUAAGGGAGAGAUGAAAGCUGACUUUUCUUAGCUAAGACAAGAAAGCACACAAGUGGUUGUGUGAUGGAGCAAGGAACAGUGCAAAUGGGCACACAGAUUCUCCAGAAUUGUCACAGUGCCCCAGCAUCUCCCAUCACAUGCAGCUGCACGCGUAGACAUUGUCUUCCUCUUGCUUCUAAGGAGUACUAUGAAAGUUUGUUCAUUCAAACCUGGAAAAAUACAAAACCAUCAAUAAGAGGAACUGAAAUCAUCAAUUUUUAGUGUUUCAGUUUCUCCAGCAUCACUGCACAUUGUGUGGAAACAUUCCCUCAGGUCAGUUCCUGGCGUAAACAGGAAAUGGCACAGCUGUGGUGCAAGGGCUGUGCUCACUCAUGGUUUGUUCCAUUUUCUUUCUGAAUGUUUAGAGAUCGCUCUGUCAGAUCUUCUCCUUGAUGAAGCUAAUGAGCCCUGGUGAACUUAAACUUCAGCGUGGUUGUAGAAAAGCAGGUUUGGCUUGGUUUUGUAUCCAGAUGUGGUUCUACCACUUGCCCAAACAAAAGUGCAGAACUUGAGGGACUACACUGGUUCUUGCUUUAACUUUUUUUGUAACACUUCAGAUUUUGCUUUCAUCCUCCCAUGCCCAUGAAAAUCAAACUUAAAUACAUCAAAGCAAGCAUGAAUAAAUGAAAAGGAAGGGCAUACACUUUCAUAUGCAAUUACAUGCCUUGAUGAUGUUUGCUCCGCUGUGCAAUUUUGAAACCAUAGAAGCUUACCAAAUUCCAAUGUAUACUGAAAAGUUUUCUGGAUCUAGAGAAGUAGUUAGAAUUUUUAACCAUCAGUCUGAUACAUAAAGCUCAAGAAAAGUGUAUGUCCAGUUUUUUUACUUUUGAAAGCAAGUGUCAUAUAAUGUUUGGAGCAAACUACCCAAGUAAUAAUCUAAAGAUAGAAGGUGCUCUGUUUUGUUUUUCUUGUCUUUUUCUUUCUUUCUCUUCCUUCCUUUCUUUCCUUCCUUCUUUCCUUCUUUCUUUCCUUCUUUCUUUCAUUUCUUUCUUUCUUUUCUAUUUUUCUUUCCUAUCUUUCUUUCCUUCUUUACCCAAUAUUGAGGCUAUGGACUCAAAGUUUGCGAAGUUUGCAAAGCUGUAUUUGUUAAGCAUCAAUUUCCUGCAGCUAACUUGAAAAGACCUGCUAAUGCUGCAAUGAAAUGCCACCUGGGUAGUCAGUGUAAUUUUUAAGAAAAAUGCAGUUUGGGGAUUCACUACUCAGAAAUACAGACUUCCAAAUAUCCCCAAAGACUCCUGUUCUUGCAUACAAGUCCUAAAUCAUGACUGGAUGAUCUUGUAGGUCUUUUCCAACCUAGCUGAUUCUAUGAUUCUAUGACCUCUCCAACUGAGAGUGCUGUAAAGACAGUGUACACAGAAAGACGCAAAUAUUGUGUUGUAUUUUUGUUGGGUGUUUGGUGUAAUCCUCAAAGUUCUGGCUGCUCUAUGGGAAAAGUUAGCUGAAUAAUUGUCCGAAAAAUGGUGUAAGUGCAAUUUUCCUAUAUACUGGACUCUGCUAGUAUGACACAAAAAAAAUCCAUUAGAUUGUGUUUGUGAUGGUUAGUGUUUAUCAGCCAUAUGAACUCUAUCUUAAUUAUAAUUUAAGUUUAGUGAAAAACACUAUCAGUGGGGUUCUAUGUGUAAAAGCUGACCUGAGUUCUUCAGUGUUCCUUUAUUUGUCAAUGGAGAGAAAUGGGUUUCUCCAGAGGAUGUUCAGAGGAAUGUUGACAUAACCCCUGCAAGAAGCUUUCUGUGUUCAAACGGAGUCUUGCUGGCUUUUCUGGCUGCCCACAGCUGACUGAGGCGACAGAUGAGCUUCACCUGUGGUUGAAAUGCUGAAGUGUACCACAGUGGUGGUUGUGAGCAACGUGCCUCUCCCAGAGGUCUUUCUUGUGAUGGAGAGACCUAGAAUGAUUCCAAGAGGCAGAAAUUCUCUUGCCUCUUACAGAGCUGUGGGACCAAGUCCUUCAUCCUGCUGUUGCUCUUCCACAACAUACAAACCCUUUCAUUAACUGAGCAAGAGUACAGUAGAGGUUAAACCUCUGCUGACCAAGAAGCAAACAGACGCACUAAAUCUUUCAGAGGUUAUUGCACAGUUAUUGAGCAUGCAAGCUUACAGUCAAAGAUGGAGGGAAAUUUCCAAAGUCUGCAAAAAACUCGUGCCACCGAAGCACACCUGUUUCUUCACCUUGAUACCCUCUGGGAAAUCUGGGACUUGGUAGAGUGCACCUUAAUUCUUGUAUGUCUUGAUGUGGGUUUCCCAUGCUGUAUUAAUCUGUAUUUGGCCACAUUACAGAUAACCCGUAACUUUACUAGGAAUGUGUGGAGGGUCAAGGUACUGAGGCUGGAAUGAGCAGAGAGCUAGACAGAGCAGCUCAAGUGCUUUUGAAAAGAUCCCCAGGGUACUCUCCCUUCUUGAUUGCUUCUCCCCCCAGGCAUUCUGGGCUCUACUCAUUCUUGGGAGAAAUUAGGGACUGAGAGGUGAUGGGAGCACAGCAUCACCAGCCGAAAGCUGUGGCAGGCUCCUGCAGAUCUGUCCGCCCCUAGUUCUGCAGACUUGCUGACUGGCAGGGACCAGUCAGGGCUGCAAGGCCCAAAGAAGACCUGCAAUACAAAAGGCAACAGUGCACAUGUUAUCCUGCUUUACUGAGUUCAUCAGAAAAUUUUUAAAAUAUUUAAAUCACAGCAAAAGCAGGUCAUGGUCUGCACAUAGUGUGGCCUUUUGUGCUCGUACUGGAAAAAGAAAUAAAUCUGUGUUGGGAGCCACUGAUACGCUAAAUGAAUGAUAAGGGAAAUGAGAGACAGAGGAGAAAAAAAAAACGUUUCUGAUUAUUGAGAUAUGUAGAUCUGUCUCCGUCUAUGGAGAAAAAAAAAACAAACAUAGAUCACGUGCAACCCCAGGGCUUAUUAAUUAGGGGAUGAGGAAGGAAAAUAUGUACAAAUCUGGUGUCUUAAUUCUUGAAGGUACCAAAAUUUUUCUUGAGUCUUUAGUGACUACUGCUCAGCAUUCUUUCUUCUGGAAGUUCAGUAAAAUAUCUUAUUAAAUUCAGGUCUGAUAUGUAUUGUGGUGCUGAAGCAGCUGGUAAUUUUGAAGGAAUAUUUGUGUUAACUGCUGUGUUCUAUGGAGACUUAAUAUAAAUAAAUAUAUUCAGGAACUCAGUUCAGUAUAUUAGCAAUGGGAAUUGGGAGUGUCAGUGAAAGAAGCUACCUCUUACUCAUUUCUCGGGUUUAAUUUUAUUAACGGAUACAAAUGAUUUGUUAAACAAAUAUAAAACAAAAGGAAAAGAAGAAUGAACUCUGUGUCACCAUUGGGCUCAUCUCAUAACCCAGAAUCCCUGGGUAUCAAGUGCUUUUCAUCUCAGACUUACCUUAUCAUCUUAAUAAAAGGCCUUGGAAAGAAACGGCUGAAGAAACCACCUCAAAAACCUUCAGCAUUUUCAUGUCAAUCGUACAGUUUCUAGAAGGCCAGGUCCCUGUUUAAGGUCUAAUGUGUUUGGAGAGUGACAAGAGGUGUGUGCUAUUAGGCAGAAUGCCUUUUAUACACAAGGAAUUGGAUCAAUUUGACCCUGAUUGUCUCUCCAUUUUAUUGUCCCAUGACUUCAACACUCGACCCCUGGCUCAUCUUAAGGAAGAGGCUGAUUGAACUGGAGGUCUGACACUUGUCGGUUGUGGAUAACGUUGGCUUCAGUCAGUCAUGUUCACACAUAAAUGAGCCCUGGCAGAGAUAGACUGUUGAACAGAAAAAGCAGCUUUUCUGUGGAGAGCCUCCUUGUUUAAAUCCAUCAAAUAGUAAGGUCUGCUUCACAACAAAACAGCCUGAGAUAAGUAACAGAGGUAUAUAUUAUUUCUCUUGCUACGAGGAACUGUCUGUUUUGAAACAUGCAACGUGUGGGGAGAAAUGGCAAAAGGACCAUAAUGGUAAAUGCUACUUUGGUUCUAUAACGCGAGGCAGCGCACGGGGCUCCUGCUUGUGAGUGGGAGACGUCGCUGUGCACAGUGUCAGCAUCACUGUGACAUCAGUUCUUCCCUCCUUAGAGCAAGGUGAUGUACAUCUUGAUUAAAAUGGCAGAAAUGGAAUUCCUCCCCUUUUCUCUCUUUGGAUUUGUCUUUCUUUCUGCUGUUCUCAAAAUCAGAAAUUUCCAAAAAAAAAACCCACACCCCUCCCUGCAAGAGAGUGAAAAACACAGUCCUCUAACAGGGAAAAAGAAGAAAAACAUAAACUCACUUCUAUCCAUGUGAUGUCACUGCAACUCUGCUAUGAACAGUGGGGAAAGAGAGAAAAAAGAAAAAGGAAGGAAGUGUGGAAAGAAGGCUAUUGUUUUUUUUUUUUUUUUUUUAAAGAAUGCAAAUACAACUCCACUGCACUUUCAAAGCAGUUUGCAUAAAUGUCUCUCCAUGAUUUUUUUAUUUAUGGCCCCUAAGUUUCUAAUUAAAUACUAAUUAAUACUAUCACCAGAAUUGUCUCCCGUCCUCAGCUCUUCAUAGCUUUGUCAUUUUGAUUAAUGCAUAGUCAUUUAUUAACUUAUUUAACAAGCAAAGAUGCCUCAUGACAAACCAGCUUAAAUUAUCCCCAUAACGGUUUCAUUACUGCAAAAAAGGAGUUUUAAACUUAAUAAAAAUUAUCCUCAAUAAUGUGGAAGCUUUUUCUUUGCAGCCUUAGAGGAUGGAAAUAGAUUUUUUUGCUUGAUUUAUAAUA